UAGCUCAGCUGGUAAAGAAUCUGCCUGCAAUGCAGGAGACCCAGGUUCAAUUCCUGG
Molecule: transfer RNA, 57 nt
Filed under: Bos taurus (domestic cattle)
Lineage: Eukaryota; Metazoa; Chordata; Mammalia; Artiodactyla; Bovidae
Also listed under: 4 other names
Rfam family: tRNA
About the family: Transfer RNA (tRNA) molecules are approximately 80 nucleotides in length.
Source: Rfam by way of RNAcentral